UACGUAGGGUGCAAGCGUUGUCCGGAAUCAUUGGGCGUAAAGCGCGCGUAGGUGGCUUCGUAAGUCCGUUGUGAAAGUCAAAGGCUCAACCUUUGAAUGUCAGCGGAUACUGCCGGGCUAGAGUCCGGAAGAGGCGAGUGGAACUCCUGGUGUAGCGGUGGAAUGCGCAGAUAUCAGGAAGAACACCAACGGCGAAGGCAGCUCGCUGGGACGGAACUGACGCUAAGGCGCGAAAGCGUGGGGAGCGAACAGG
Molecule: ribosomal RNA, 253 nt
Filed under: uncultured bacterium
Lineage: Bacteria
Description: partial 16S ribosomal RNA
Rfam family: Bacterial small subunit ribosomal RNA
Source: RNAcentral